UACGUAGGGUGCAAGCGGUAAUCGGAAUUACUGGGCGUAAAGCGUGCGCAGGCGGUUAUGCAAGACAGAUGGGAAAUCCCCGGGCUCAACCUGGGAACUGCAUUUGUGACUGCAUGGCUAGAGUACGGUAGAGGGGGAUGGAAUUCCGCGUGUAGCAGUGAAAUGCGUAGAUAUGCGGAGGAACACCGAUGGCGAAGGCAAUCCCCUGGACCUGUACUGACGCUCAUGCACGAAAGCGUGGGGAGCAAACAGG
This 253-nucleotide ribosomal RNA is filed under the name uncultured bacterium. RNAcentral describes it as "partial 16S ribosomal RNA". It matches the Rfam family "Bacterial small subunit ribosomal RNA", at positions 524 to 776 of the family's 1533-position model. The record is from RNAcentral.